CCCACAUGGAUCCGGCCCACGCGAAUUGGGUUGGUGGGCGGUACCCUUGUGGGCCUAUAAUGCAUGCUCCUCCCCCAUAUGUUGAGCAUCAGAAGGCUGUCACAAUCAGAAAUGAUGUUAACCUAAAAAAGGAAACUUUGAGGGUUGAGCCGGAUGAGGAGAACCCUGGGAAGUUUCUCGUGACAUUUACUUUUGAUGCCACGGUUGCCGGAAGGUACUAUAAUAUGAGUAUUAUUUGAUAUGUGAAUGAGUUGGAUGCUGCCGUUAUUAUCCAAUAAUUUUAAUUUAGUUCUACUGAUGACACAGUGUGGAUUGAUUGACAUUUGAGUUGGACAUCUUUGCAUGAUUUGUUUGUUUCUUGGUUUUUGAUUUUUAAAUAGAAUUUGAAACAUAUUUAUCUUGUUAGGUAUGAAUAUAAUUUUUUGCUCAUAGAAGGUAUUAACAAAGUAAUUUUUUUCGCUUAUUAUCACUUAAUCUACUUAAAUGUUCUGGCAAAUUCAAGUGUUUUUCUCCAAUGAAAAACAAAUUCAAGUGUUUUUUUGCUCAAGUGCUUCCUUUCCAAGGGUGGAGAUUUCAUUCCACUUUUAUUUCGGUAGAUAAUCAGCUGGGUCCCUUUUUUUCUUCCUUUUUUUAUUUGCUUGCUUACAACUUUCUAUGCAUUAUUGAAUGUGGAAUGAAUAUCAUUCCACAGGUUCUUGAAUGCACUUGUUGAUAUUUUAUGAUUCAAGAAUUCUUUUGUGCAGGCAUGGCUUGUAUAAAAAUAACUUCCUUUGAGUAUUAGUUGCUUUCCUACUAAUGUCUCAUAACUUCAUUUUAAACCCUCAAUCAAGAGAAUAUAGGUCUCUGCCUCAAGUUUUUGUGUUGGGUUUGUUAGGCUUGGGAUGGCCGUUAGUACUCCAUCCUCAGCCUCACAUGUAUGUUAAAAAACUAAUAGUGAAAUUUGUAUUGUUUAUGGAAACUCUGUAUUCUCUAUCUCUGUCUUCCCACCCCCACCCCCUCCCCCUCCCCAACCCAAAAAAAAACCCACCAAAAAAGAGACGUUGGGGUGGGGUGGCUGUCAUUUUGAUCUGUUCCUAUCAGUUGGAUUGGCUUGUUACAUCUGGAUUUAGUGCAGGCUUAAGUUUGAGGUUCAUCCAUUGCACUGUUUAAAUAUAUCAUGUGUAUUAAUGUCAUUUAUUUUUUGCUGUGUUUAAUUAAUGCAUUAAUGAAUGCAUUAAUUGGUUAGCUUAAGGGGCUGAGAGCGGUCUUGGGUGAAAUUUCAAUAACCAAUUCAGCUUUUGUUUGACAAUACUCUUGUAGAAAUUAUUUAACUUUUGGAACUUGAAGCGUGAAAGAUUUAGAAAACGAUUAUUCAAUUUGUAUUCCCUUUGCCAUAUUAUUUAUUUAGGAUUUUUUUUUAUAUCCUGAUUAGCUGGGCCUCAAUUUACUUCUUUAAGUUCAAUUUAUAUGUUUGUGUUUGUGCUUGUGCUUGUGCUAGUGCUAUAAGUUGCUUUAGUACUCUAUUUACAAAAAAAAAUUGAGGCUUUACCUUGUUUGUGGUUUGCUUAUAUAGAAUAGGUUUAGUUUGCUAAUUUUUGUUUGUUCACUGCUAUUUUCCUUUUGCUAAAGUGAUUUAAGGUUUAAUUGUCUUCCAUUUUUUUAACUCCAUACAGCAUUACGGUUAUUUUCUUUGCGAAAGAGGGUGAAGAUUGUAACCUGACUCCAAUGAAGGAAAGUAAAUUUGCACCAGUAACAGUACAUUUUGAACAAGGUUUGGGCCAGAAAUUCAGACAACCCUCAGGAAUUGGGAUAGACUUUUCAACGUGUGAAGAGGCAGAAUUACUUAAAGAGGGUGAUAUGGAUGUGUAUCCCCUAGCAAUAAAGGCUGAGGCAUCCCCAAGCAAUCAAGGUGGAUCAGCAGAUGAAAACCCAGAGUCUGGAGCCAGUAACUCCCAGAUCACUCAAGCGGUAUUCGAGAAGGAGAGGGGUGAAUACCAGGUGAGAGUAGUGAAGCAGAUCUUAUGGGUGAGUGGGAUGAGGUAUGAGCUACAGGAGAUAUAUGGCAUUGGCAAUUCAGUUGAUGGUGAUUUUGAUGCAAAUGAUCCUGGAAAGGAAUGUGUCAUCUGCUUGUCCGAACCUCGUGACACAACUGUCCUUCCGUGCAGACACAUGGUACUCUCUCACUCUCUCUCUUAUUUGAGACUCAGAGAUAUUUGUCAAAGUGAAUCUGUCUACUACCUAGGAUUUUAUCUUUUUAAUCACGUCAAAGAAAUGAAAUUAUAAAAACAAAAAAACUUGACCCAGGAUGAAAUCUUGUCUAAUACUAUUUAUCGGUUAGAAGCUGUUACAGUUAUGGAAGAAAGGGUUAAUAGAGAAUGUAGUCCGUAAUUGCAGUUCCUUCCUGAAGUGUCAAUAACAUAUUAUUAUGAAUAGGUGCUUUAAUUAGUAUUCGGUUCAGUGAAUCUAUUAUGUCGACUCACAUUGGUUUCAUGGCUCGAUUGAUGUGGCUGUAAUGAGCUUCAACAUCUUGCAUGCAGCCUGUUUAACUUCAAGUCUCGCAAGCUAAUGUUCAUCUGAGAUUUGAUUCCCCAUAUUGUCCAUUGAUUUUUUUUGGGUGCAGUGUAUGUGCAGUGGGUGUGCAAAAGUUCUGAGGUUCCAAACAAACAGGUGUCCUAUAUGCAGACAGCCAGUUGAGAGGCUUUUGGAGAUCAAGGUCAACAAUGGAACUGAAGACUGAAGAGUGGAUGAGUUUAUGCUAUUAUGACAUUGCUGUAAAGUUCUUUGUUUUCUGCCUGCUUUCCUAUCUUCUUUUAUUUUUAUUACUUCUUUCUUUCUUUAUUUCUUUCUUUCUUUCUUUCUUUCCCUCUUUUAACCAUUUUACUUGUUCUAGUUUACAAUAAUCAAACUAGAAUCUCAUCAGUUUGCAGUUUGGCUUGAACAUAAUGCUAUCUUUGCUAAAGUUUAUAGCAAAAGAUGUUGUAAAGCUAAUGGCUUUUACAUGAUUGUGCUGACUACUUGGUGGCAUUCUCCAUGUGUUAUCCUAUAUAAGAAUUAUAGUAUGUUUGGUUUGCAUCCGAGUUGCUUUGUGCAUUUCCCUUAUAUAAUUUGUCAUGGGAGUCUUACUAUGUUGCAGUCAUUGUUUUAAAGUCUUUUUUCUCUUAACUGGACUGGAUCAGAAUGAUCUUGAUUGGCCGGCUUUCCCUGAGGUGAGGAGAAUGGCUUGAUGGUUUUAGAUUNNNNNNNNNNNNNNNNNNNNNNNNNNNNNNNNNNNNNNNNNNNNNNNNNNNNNNNNNNNNNNNNNNNNNNNNNNNNNNNNNNNNNNNNNNNNNNNNNNNNGCCAGCUCCUUAUGAUCACCACCACCGUCCGCCACCACCCCACAUGGAUCCGGCCCACGCGAAUUGGGUUGGUGGGCGGUACCCUUGUGGGCCUAUAAUGCAUGCUCCUCCCCCAUAUGUUGAGCAUCAGAAGGCUGUCACAAUCAGAAAUGAUGUUAACCUAAAAAAGGAAACUUUGAGGGUUGAGCCGGAUGAGGAGAACCCUGGGAAGUUUCUCGUGACAUUUACUUUUGAUGCCACGGUUGCCGGAAGGUACUAUAAUAUGAGUAUUAUUUGAUAUGUGAAUGAGUUGGAUGCUGCCGUUAUUAUCCAAUAAUUUUAAUUUAGUUCUACUGAUGACACAGUGUGGAUUGAUUGACAUUUGAG
This 3681-nucleotide long non-coding RNA is filed under the name Panax ginseng (ginseng). RNAcentral's name for it is "long non-coding RNA (PGIN_LNC005711)". The record is from RNAcentral. Lineage: Eukaryota; Viridiplantae; Streptophyta; Magnoliopsida; Apiales; Araliaceae.